GCCCCUGUGGUGUAAUGCUAGAGCACGCGUCCCCGCUAUGGAUGAAACGCGGGUUCGAAUCCUGCCUGAGUUCA
Non-coding RNA from Parelaphostrongylus tenuis, 74 nucleotides. The record is from the annotation of a GenBank genome assembly. Lineage: Eukaryota; Metazoa; Nematoda; Chromadorea; Rhabditida; Metastrongylidae.